RNAcentral lists this ribosomal RNA (487 nucleotides) under uncultured bacterium. RNAcentral's name for it is "bacterial SSU rRNA". It matches the Rfam family "Bacterial small subunit ribosomal RNA", at positions 28 to 513 of the family's 1533-position model. The record is from RNAcentral.
GAUGAACGCUAGCGGCAGGCCUAAUACAUGCAAGUCGAACGAGAUUGAGGAGCUUGCUCCUCAUGAAAGUGGCGCACGGGUGCGUAACGCGUAUGCAAUCUACCUUAAUCAGGGGGAUAGCCCGGAGAAAUCCGGAUUAAUACCGCAUAACGUUAUUUUAUGGCAUCAUAGAAUAACCAAACAUUUAUGGGAUUAAGAUGAGCAUGCGUGACAUUAGUUAGUUGGUGAGGUAACGGCUCACCAAGACUACGAUGUCUAGGGGAUCUGAGAGGAUGACCCCCCACACUGGUACUGAGACACGGACCAGACUCCUACGGGAGGCAGCAGUAAGGAAUAUUGGUCAAUGGGCGCAAGCCUGAACCAGCCAUGCCGCGUGCAGGAAGACGGCCCUAUGGGUUGUAAACUGCUUUUAUCGGGAAUAAACCUCUUUACGUGUAAGGAGCUGAAUGUACCGAAGGAAUAAGGAUCGGCUAACUCCGUGCCAGCA